Molecule: long non-coding RNA, 9793 nt
Organism: Callithrix jacchus (white-tufted-ear marmoset)
Lineage: Eukaryota; Metazoa; Chordata; Mammalia; Primates; Cebidae
Source: RefSeq, a predicted model, not a curated record
CCCGCCCCCGCUCCCCCGCCUCCCCGCUGCGCUGGCGCCCAGCGCAGCCCGGCAGGGCCAGGCUAACGCGCAUGCUCGCAGCCGGAGGCCUUGCUUUUUAUCCCGCAGCGCGGAUUCGGCCGCGCCGCGUUUAUAGCCACGCCCAGGGAGGGGUCCUCGGGAGGGCCGGAGCUGUGAUCUCGGGGUUGGGAGUCUGCGGUGAUGCCGAGGCUUGUCCAGCGCGACCCUAGACCAGCGGCUUGUGGGGCGGCUGGGCGUGCAAAGAGGGUUCUGGAUGAGGAAAAGGAAUGUUCAGAGUGGUCAAAUGGCUUCCUGAGAUCACACAGCAAGCUAGCGAAGAGCCAGCUGUGGACCUCGUCGCUCCAUGCCCAAUCUUUUCCUCCCACCACCACAUCUGGAAUGUACCCAAACUGCCCCUCAGGCUUCCAGGAGAGCCUCCAAGAGAGUCAGUCCCAAGACUGCUAGCAAGCUGCUGCACAGCCACCACAUCCUCCACCACAAAGAGAGAUGGCGAGGUGGGGCUCAUCAGAAUCUUUAUUUGGAAAUGAACUGCUCAAAAAGCUGCAUUGAUGAGCUUUUCCUUUUAGAAUUAUAAAUAUUUACAAUAAUCAUUAUUUUGCUGUGAAUCGAUUUCUGUCAGGCAAUUAAGAGUCGUCCUGGUCUGCUGACAGUAUUGGUUUGAUGCCGGUUUGCCUUUCUAGCAGCAGCAUUUUAAUGGUAUUUAUUGAUUAGCAGAUGGAUUGCUCCUAGGUGUUGUGACCAAACAAAUUUUGGAAAUGAAGCAAUUUAAAAUUUGUCUCAAAACCCAAUUACUUCAGAAUACAGAAGACAAAUUAAAAGAAGAAACUGUGGACUGUGGAUGAUGGUUCCUGGUUAAUUAUUUGGAAAGCUAUGAUUUUCUCUACUAUUCCCAUGGCAUUUUCUUCCUCCUACCCAUUCAUCAUUCAGAGAAGAGUUACUGAGCACCUAUUAUUACUGGAAACUGUCCUGGCCAUAGGCAGAUGGAAAUGACAAUGAGAUGGCCCCUUUCUGUGGGGAAUCCAGGUUUGUAAAUGGGGAGAUGAGUCCACAGCUGGCUCUUCCAUGGCCUUACUAUGUGAUUUGCAAAUUUUCAAUCAGCAAACAUCUUUAUUCUUUCUCUUUGCCAGUAGUAUUUCAAAAUGCUUUCAAUUAAUGAAGACACAUUUGUGGAACUGGAUGUAAAUCACUCAGAAGUAUAUAAUUAAUGGCAACCUGCUUCAGUGAUGGUUCCUAGAGGAGAGUGGCUUCCCAGCUGCCCGCUGGUGGCAGUCGGCCUCAUGAAGCUAGAAUGUGAAUGGUGUUGAUAAAUUUAUCGACAUGAAAUGGCGCCUAGUUAUAUAAGAAAUAUAAUUAAUUUGCACAACUAAAUAUAUUUGUGUCAAUAAUUUAAAAUUAUAUCCAAUAUCUUUAUAAGAAAUAGACAUUUACAUGAAAACGUAAAUGUAAAUAUAAAUAGACAAAGAUAAAUGUAAUAUAUAAAUGUAAAUGUAAAUAGACAUUUACAUGAAAAUUAUGUCCCUAUAGUUUAGGGACAUAAUUUCAUAAAAUGCUUUCUUGAAAGCAGGUUCUGAUAAAGGAUACAUAGAAGCGAUCUCAAAAUAAUGGGUCUUGGCUGGGCGUGGUGGAUCAUGCCUGUAAUCCUAACACUUUGGGAGGCUAAGCCCAGGAGCUCAAGGCUGCACUAAGCUAUGAUCUCCUCCAACCUGAGCAGCAACAAAGCAAGACCCUGUCUCUAAAAUUAAAAACUAUAUAUAUAUGUAUGUAUGUAUGUAUAUGUACACACACACACAUAUAUUAAUGGACAAGGCAUCCAACAAUGAUAAAAUCACAGGUGAGAAUAAUCAGUUAAAAAUCUAAAUAGUCACAUUGUAAAAAUAAUCCACUUGAAAAUCAUAUAAAAGAGGACAUAGUAAUACUAGAACUAGAUGAGCAAUCUCACUAUGAACAUAACUACAACCUUAAGAAACAGCAUCUUUUCCACCUGUCUUUUCCGUGGACCUGGAGUGCUAUCACAUCCCCAGUCUGCCUGUGCAUUCCUGUGUAUACUGUCAGUACCCAAAUAUUAAUCUCCCCAGUGGUUUUCAUUAGCAGUGGCCGGGAGUCCUGCAAAGAAGCUGAUUCCGCGUGUGGGAGUAAGGGAACAUCAGAAUGGCCUGAAACACCUUGCUAUUCUCAGAAAACCAGGUUCCUUCCAAAAAUUCUGGGUUAAUGCUGACAGGACAAAGGAGCAGGCAGUGACAAUUUGCAUAUCACAACAACUGUUUUGUUGAUCUACAAGUUGACUCUGAAAAGCUGUGAGGCUUUACUGAUAAAACGUUAACAUUGUAUGUACAAAAAUACACCCAUAACUGUAAUUACAAAACCAGUUACAAUUUAAAGAAAGGGUAAAAAUAGGAUAUUUUAGUAAAUAGGGAUAUUUGGUAGAUAUGAGAUCCUGUUUCUUACUUGAAGUUCUGUAUGUCUGUUUAUGAAAUGGUAUAUUUGUAUAAGUUCAAGGGGCAUAUAAGUUUACUAAGUAAGAGUAAGUCAGGCCGGGCGCGGUGGCUCACGCCUGUAAUCCCAGCACUUUGGGGGAUCAAGGCAGGUGGAUCACGAGGUCAAGAGAUCGAGACCAUCCUGGUCAACAUGGUGAAACCCCGUCUCUACUAAAAAUACAAAAAAUUGGCUGGGCAUGGUGGCACGUGCCUGUAAUCCUAGCUACUCAGGAGGCUGAGGCAGGAGAAUUGCCUGAUCCCAGGAGGCGGAGGUUGCAGUGAGCCGAGAUCGCGCCAUUGCACUCCAGCCUGGGUAACAAGAGCGAAACUCCAUCUCAAAAAAAAAAAAAAAAAAGAGUAAGUCAAAGACUUCCAGAAGACUAGGAACCGUGCCAAAAUCAGUAAGGGCAGGUCAGGACCAGUGGUCUCAUAAAUAACCAGGUAAAAGGGGGGCUUAAUAAUUUAUGUUGCAAGUUAAUGGAUUAGCCAGAUGUCCUAAGGGAGAAGCUGAUAGAUUAAACUGCUAUAUGGCCCUGCUAAUUUUAAUGAAAUGCUAAUGAUGCAUAAUGAAGGUUAUUGUAAACUGUGGCAGAACAUCACAUACCCAAGACUUCAUGCACAUGGGAGUGAAAAUUGCAAGAACUUGUUGUAAGUCCUGUUAACAUAACAGUUGAAAUGAUCUGAGGGACCCCAAACGAGCCAAUGCCUGCUGCCACCAAGAAUCCACCAGUCAAGGCCCAUGGCUGCCAUUCAGUGCACCUGGGAAGGAGAUCAUCUUUCUCUCUGCCAUCCAAUAAGUGCAAUCCUGAAAAAAUUUAAAAUACAUAUUGUAGAGAUGACAAAGAAAUUGGUCACGUCAAUAACACCGUUUUUUGGACAUAGAGUCUUGCUGUCACCCAGGCUGGAGUGCAGUGGUGGCAAGAUCUCGGCUCACUGCAACCUUCACCUCCAGGAUUCAGACCUCCUGCCUCAGACUCCUGAGUAGUUGGGAUUACGAGCACUUGCAACCACUCCCAGCUACUUUUUGUGUUUUUAGUAGAGAUGGGGUUUUACCGUGUCGGCCAGGCUGGUCUCGAACUCUUGACCUCAAGGGAUAUGCUGCCUUGGCCUCUCAGAGUACUGGAAUUACAGGUGUGAGCCACACACCCAGCCUAAUAACUGUUUUUACAAAAUUAAGGUAUGUGUGCAGUAAAAACUUUUGUGUUAAAUUUUAAAGUGUUUGAAGCAUUUUGAAAUUACAUUCAACAGUUACAUUGAAACAAGAUUAUUUGUGUAAAUGUUUAGAAAAAUUUUAUUUUGAAAGUUUUAUCAGUUGUAUUUAAAUAGUUUAGGGAUAAAGGUGACUAUAUAACACAUUUUUCUUAAGUCAACUAUAAGUAGGAGUAACAGACCCAUGAUUUAAAAAAAAAAAGGGACAGGGAGUGAAAUAUGGAUCCCAGCAACUGAAAGGAAAACCAGGAGAGCUACUGGAGCCUAGCACUGUCGGGGUGUACAGCUGGGACCCACUAAACAGUUGUUGAAGAAAGGGAGAAGGGGUAGAGGGAGGAAAAGGAAAAAUACAUAAUUAAGCAUUUAUUUGUAGUUGUAGUGGAAAUAGCAUUGCUUUGGAUGUUCAGAAGAGAGAAAAAGUAUUUCAAAUAAAGCAUGGCAUCUGGUGUCCGUACUAGAGGGCUGGUUAAACGGAUGGUUCAGCCAUACGUGGAAAUACGACACGGCAGUUUGAAAGAAUGAGAGUGGCACGUGUGGGGACCCAGGGUGUGCUCUGCAAUACAUCCUUGAGUGAAAAGAGCCAGGUGCAGGACAGCAUCUGGAGCACACUGUCACUUGUGAACAUGAUUGUACCUGCAUACGAAAGCUGAAAAUGUGGAAAGAUACUGGCCAUAGGGUGGACAGCUUUGGAGACAGUGGCUGGGCCGGGAGAUCUGGCUCACAGGAAGACUGACUUCCCUGAACAUUCUUUUGAAAUAUUGAGAUAUUUUACCAUAGGCGUGUACUGCCUUUUCAGAGAAGAAAGGGGAGGAUUUGGAAGCCCAAUCUCUGGUCCUACUUUUAUUACUCAGUAGCUUUGACUUUGGGCAAGUAACUUAUCUGCAAGGUGCUUCGUUUCUCUGGACAAUGAAGGUGUUGAGUCCCACAUCAGGGGGUGGUGGAAGGGAAAUGAGACAAGAGUUCAGAAAGUGCAGUUGAGUACCGUGGGUAGGGGUGAAUCGGGUGGUCUCAGCCCCUUUGGGGACCACAGAAGCUCAGCAGCAGCAGCAGCAGCAGCAGCAAAAGUGACAGCCAACACACGGAACGGUGUUUGACUUAACUGCUCCCACGAGCCAGCCGCAGAACUCGAAAAAGUCACCUUAACGUCUCUGGAUUUUAGUUCUCUUAUCUGCAAAAGGGCAGUGGUGGGAGAGUGGCAAUUAUACUAGAUGGUUCACUUCAGCUAAAAAAGACCAAAAAGCAUGAUUUUAAUAUUGGUUGGAAAUGAUUCAGUGCAGUAACAGAGGCAUUAAAAAAAGCCCCCAGGGGAGUUUACAGUACAGAGCUAUCACUUCCAGCUGCAAAUGUGCAGAGAGGAGGACAUUGCAGAAGGGAGAAACUCGUGGUCUCUUUACCUAAGUCACCCACACCUUGAUGCCAGGCACCUGUUCACUCUUUCAGCUAUUUUUGUAAAGGCCAACAGAAAAGAGAGUUACCUGGACCGUCUGUAAAAUGGUGGCCCCCAAGGAACUAUGCUUCCUUGUAAUGAAAUCCUAGUGUGAUCCCCUCUGACACUGACUUUGGGAUUGGCCAUGUGACUUGCUUUCGCCAUGAGACACAAACACAGCACAAGCACAAGCACAGACUUGAUAAGCACUUGCACACUGGGGCUUUGGACACUGCCUCUGGAAGCCAGCCUCCAUGCUGCCAGGAAGCUCAAGCCAAACUACCAGAUGACGAGAGGACAUGGAGAGGAAACCCGGAGGACAGGAGUCCUCAUGGGCAUCCAAGUCUUAGCUGUUCCCCAGCCAGUGCCACCACAUGGGCAACCUCAGCAACCCUGCAUUGUGCAAAAGAACUACCCAGCUGAAGCCAGUCCACCCACAGGAUUGCAAAACAUGGUAACCUGUUGUUGAUUUCAGCCACUAAGUACGGGAGUCAUUUGUUGGGCAGCAAUAGGUAACUCAGUCUUGUGGGAAGCUAGGAUUUCCGUUUCAGGGGGGGCUUUGAGAGUUGCUGAGUCCAUUUGGAAGAAGGACGCAAUCUUAAGCUUGCUUCCCCAGGAUUUCAGUUUCAGGGAGUCCAUUUGGGGGAAGCUAGGAUUUCCGUUUCAGGGAGGGUUUCGAGAGUUGCUGACUCCAUUUGGGGGAAGGAUGUAGUCCUAAGCUUGCUUCCCCAGAAGCAAAAGGGGAAUAAGAUAAACAGACCUUGGGUUGUUUGGCUUCAAGCUGUCUUUCAACCAAAGAAACUUUACUGAAGAAAAAAGGAGAAACUUGGCUGAGAUCUGAAGUGUGAUGAGAAUACGGAUCAGGGAAGACAGACCAGGAGGCCUCUCUGAAAGUAGGAAGCCACAGAAGCAACAGUGCCAAGGAGGACAACCCAGGGUGGUCCUGGCUGCAAGAGGACACCUUGCUGAGAGCACCGCAGUUGGCAGGAAGCAGGCAUUUUCCAGAAGAAUCCUGAAGGAAAAUACUCUGUUCUGCUCUCAGCUAACCUAUGCAACUAUCAGACCACGUACUCCAUAGAGUCCAGAGGUGGCUGCUGGGGGUGAAGUGGAAAUCGAAUGGAAUAAAAUAAUAUGGCGGCAUGGGCCCAGCCUUCUAGGGCUUUCCACACCAUUCAUCUCACAUAACCUUCACACCAUCCUGCAGGGUUGGGAGGGCAUGCAUAAAAAGCCUCAUCCCAAAGAUGAAAGAACAGAGAACAAAAAGGGCUAAGGGACUUUUGUGAGGCCACACAGCAAUCUGGGACCUGGAAACGUGAGCUCAUGCAUCCCAGGCCUUUCUGCUGUGCCUCUAUCAUCCCCUCGUCCAGAGAGGGUGGUGGCUCUGCAUGUGUUUAGUCGGAAGUGUGGGGUGAGAACAGCCACUGGAAAGAAAGCCCCGUUGUGACAAGGUUAUGCUCUGAGCUGCCUGGCCCACUCACCCCGCUGGCCUGUGUUCUACCCAGGGCGGGCCACAUGUCCCAGGGUUUCUGCUGAGCAACUGGUCAGCAUGCUGCUGAGCACCCAGGCCCCAUGUGAAAUGGUCAGCGGCUUUCCUUCUACCAGUGCCAGCUGCUGCAGCUGCCAGCCUCUGCCUGGCCUCCACCACUGAUGCCGCUGUAAGAAGAAGAUUCCCGUCUUAACAGAGUUACUCGCUGUGAAAGGAAGAAGGUUCCCAUCUUAACAGAGUUACUCGCUGUGAAAGGAAGAAGGUUCCCGUCUUAGAGUUACUCGCUGUGAAAGGAAGAAGGUUCCCGUCUUAACAGAGUUACUCGCUGUGAAAGGAAGAAGGUUCCCGUCUUAACAGAGUUACUCGCUGUGAAAGGAAGAAGGUUCCCGUCUUAACAGAGUUACUCGCUGUGAAAGGAAGAAGGUUCCCGUCUUAACAGAGUUACUCGCUGUGAAAGGAAGAAGGUUCCCGUCUUAGAGUUACUCGCUGUGAAAGGAAGAAGGUUCCCGUCUUAACAGAGUUACUCGCUGUGAAAGGAAGAAGGUUCCCGUCUUAACAGAGUUACUCGCUGUGAAAGGAAGAAGGUUCCCGUCUUAGAGUUACUCGCUGUGAAAGGAAGAAGGUUCCCGUCUUAACAGAGUUACUCGCUGUGAAAGGAAGAAGAUUACCAUCUUAACAGAAUUCUCAUGCAUGCCUUUCAAACCGAGGCGCUCACAGGUUGAUGGAAGAGGAUGACACAGAGUGGAGGCAGCUGCACUCGGGUGUUUAUAAUGCACAUACAUGAUUCAUCUCAAACCAGACAAGCGUGAUUCACCUGAUGGCUCGCCAUUUCUCAGAGAUGCCAGCCGUCUUACAACUCUGAGCCUCUGCAGGUGUCUAGAACAUUUUACCCAGAUUUCUCUACCUGCUAGACUUUUUUCCAUCCUUCAAAACUCAGACAAAAUGUCCCUGCUCUGCGAAGCCCUCCUUUCUUCCCAGGCGGCUCUGACAGCACCUUUCCAUGAUUCUUACAUAAUGUACCAUAUCUGUUCAUGUACUUGACUUCCCUGUUGAACAGAGCACUCCUGCAGGCCAGCAGCAGGGACGGACUCACCUCCCGUGCCUUCUCCCCAGCAGAGGACCUCAGCCAUCAUGGUUGAAGCAGUUGGUAGGGAACUGACAAUCCGGUGUAAGGAAAUUUUUAAAACUGUCAGCAAGUUCACUGAAUAACAUUUGGGGGGAAUUCACUAUGAAAAAGGGAGCAGGCCAUUAAUUCAUUCCUUAAGUAUUUAUGGAGUGCCUACCAAGUGCCCAAGUGUGCUCCAAAGAUGCACUGGGGAGGCAGAGGAUCUGUCCUCAGAUCCAGAUUUCACAGCCCCGUGGAGGAAGUGAUGCCUAACGAGGUGAGUGCCAUACAGCGCAGCACUCAUGGGAGAAAACUGCUCUGGAGCAAAGGCAGGGGGACAGAGUCCACCUGAGGAGUCCGGAAGAUGUGGGAGGCACAAUGCAGGGGAGUGGAGAGUCCCUGGGAAGAGUGCCUCAGGCUGAAGGGACAACCUAGGCGAGAAAUAGCCCGCCAGUCACAGGGGAUUUUGGUCAGAAGGGGAGGCCAGAAGGUAAGAAAACCGGGUUUGCCCGAUCGCAUUUAAGAGUGGCUCUCUUGGCCAGCCUUAUUGAGGUGGCUGUUUUGAGUUGUUCUCACCAGCCCCCACUGAAGACAAAAGAUGACUGUGUACAAGCUCUCACCUGGUCAGGCCCUCAUGACUGGCCGCUUACAUUGUCAAAGACAGCUGCUUGCACAGCUGGCCUGAAAGGCAAAUAAGAAACGAUCCAUGGUGUCACCUCAAGUGCCUCCAAAUCACUGAAGCACAUGCUGAGAGCCCACCGCUCACGUUGCAGAUGAGGAAGCAGAGGAGGGGAGGGAGUUGUCUAAGACCACACCGCAGGAUAAGCAUUGGGUGACAGGGUGGGAACCAGGCACCUGGGGAGACAGAGCUGCAAAGGACACUGUCCUCAGCCGUGAGGGCCUUACAACGUGUUAUUGACUGAACUGUGUCCCCUUAAACUCGUAUGUUCCUGACCCUGCAGUACUUCCAAAUCUGGCUGCCUUUGGAGAUAGGGCUUUAACAAGGUUAUUAAGGUAAAAUGAGGUCAUAUGAAUGGACCUUAAUCCAAUAUGACCAGGGUUCUUAUAAAAAGAGGAAAUUAGGACAGAGACACACAAAAGACACACAGAAAAGAUGGCCAUCUACAAGCCACCAUCUACAAGAGGGGCCUCAGAAUGAACCCAACCCUGCUGACACUUUGAUCUUGGACUUCUAGCCACUAGAACGGUGAGGACAUAAAUUCCUAUUGCUUCAGCCACCCAGUCCAUAGUAUUUGUUACACCAGCCACAGAAAACUAGUACAGAACCCUUGAAAACAGACGUGAACACUACUCAUGAGUCCUAGAGUAACAGGGAUUCCGGUGAGCUGCCUGACGGCAGGCAGCACUGUGAAAUCCCCAGCCCCCAAGAUCGCCUGGCACCUGCCUCUUAAUACCGCACUCCAGCUCAGCUCCUUGGCAGCCAGGGCCCCAGCAGGAGGCAGAGGGCACCUCAAACUGGGCAACUGGAGGAACAUUUAAGGCAGGGGCUCUUUACAAAGGUAUGGGCAGGGUUUAGGGAGGUCAGAGAGAAACGAUGCUGCCCUUCUGCAUCCUCCCCUCACACCAGGUCUGCAGGCAUGAGGAGGGAGUGCCUACUAGAACCCAGGGCCAGGACAGGGCCUGUGCAGAGGAGUCCACCUUCAGCAAGAUGGUCCAUCAACACUCUACAACCCAGACAGGGAGACUGAGGAAUAAAUGUCCAGACCUUACUCCCCUCCCACCCUCCUGGUUUCCUGCCAGAGUCCCCCCUUGUCUGAAGCCAACUUGAAGACACCUUUUGAGGACGCCUUCACUGUUCUGGGACUGUGGGGGCUGAGCCUCUGGGAUCAGUCACCUCCCUAACCUCCCGCAUACAAAUUGAUGAGCACACAUUUCAACCUGCUACAACACAGACAAGCAGAACCCCUCUUCAGAAGCACAUUUAUGAAGUUCCCACAGUCACUGGCUCAGAGAGGAAUGCUGCUGUAACAGCUGAGAGAAAACUGAUAACCCUGAAAAAAGCGUCCAUGGAAAUCUCAAAUCCCGCCCAUUGUUUAAAAACAGCGUCUCAC